Molecule: ribosomal RNA, 483 nt
Filed under: uncultured bacterium
Lineage: Bacteria
Description: partial 16S ribosomal RNA
Rfam family: Bacterial small subunit ribosomal RNA
Source: RNAcentral
AUUGAACGCUGGCGGCAGGCCUAACACAUGCAAGUCGAGCGGAUGAAGGGAGCUUGCUCCUGGAUUCAGCGGCGGACGGGUGAGUAAUGCCUAGGAAUCUGCCUGGUAGUGGGGGAUAACGUCCGGAAACGGGCGCUAAUACCGCAUACGUCCUGAGGGAGAAAGUGGGGGAUCUUCGGACCUCACGCUAUCAGAUGAGCCUAGGUCGGAUUAGCUAGUUGGUGGGGUAAAGGCCUACCAAGGCGACGAUCCGUACUGGUCUGAGAGGAUGAUCAGUCACACUGGAACUGAGACACGGUCCAGGCUCCUACGGGAGGCAGCAGUGGGGAAUAUUGGACAAUGGGCGAAAGCCUGAUCCAGCCAUGCCGCGUGUGUGAAGAAGGUCUUCGGAUUGUAAAGCACUUUAAGUUGGGAGGAAGGGCAGUAAGUUAAUACCUUGCUGUUUUGACGUUACCAACAGAAUAAGCACCGGCUAACUUCGUG